AACGAACGCUGGCGGCGCGUCUUAAGCAUGCAAGUCGAGCGGCAAGGUGGGGCAACCCACCCUAGAGCGGCGGACUGGUGAGUAACACGUGGGUGAUCUGCCUCUGGGUUGGGGAUAGCCAUUAGAAAUAGUGGAUAAUACCGAAUAAGUUCGCGAGACCUUUGUUUUGCGAGGAAAGGUCCGUUUGGACCGCCUGGAGAUGAGCCCGCGGCUGAUUAGCUAGUUGGUGAGGUAAUGGCCCACCAAGGCGAUGAUCAGUAGCCGGCCUGAGAGGGUGUACGGCCACAUUGGGACUGAGAUACGGCCCAAACUCCUACGGGAGGCAG
RNAcentral lists this ribosomal RNA (326 nucleotides) under uncultured Bacillota bacterium. RNAcentral describes it as "bacterial SSU rRNA". It matches the Rfam family "Bacterial small subunit ribosomal RNA", at positions 29 to 351 of the family's 1533-position model. Lineage: Bacteria; Bacillati; Bacillota. The record is from RNAcentral.